UUGCUCUAGUGGCGAACGGUCGCGUAACACGUAGGCAACCUGCCCAGAAGUGGGGGACAACAGCUUGAAAGAGCUGCUAAUACCGCAUGUGGCCAAUCGGUGGCAUCACUGAUUGUCUAAAGCUUUAUGCGCUUUUGGAUGGGCUUGCGGCCUAUCAGGUAGUUGGUGGGGUAAUGGCCUACCAAGCCGACGACGGGUAGCUGGUCUGAGAGGACGAUCAGCCGGAUUGGGACUGAGAUACGGCCCAGACUCCUACGGGGGGCAGCAAUUAGGAAUCUUGCGCAAUGGGGGCAACCCUGACGCAGCGACGCCGCGUGCGGGAUGAAGGCAUUCGUGUCGUAAACCGCUUUUUACGGGGAAGAAGAAUUUGACGGUACCCGUCGAAUAAGCCCCGGCUAACUACGUGCCAGCAGCCGCGGUAAUACGUAGGGGGCGAGCGUUGUCCGAAGUUACUGGGCGUAAAGCGCGCGUAGGCGGCCAUUUAAGUUCGGGGUGAAAGGUUCAACGCUCAACGUGAACAGUGCCUUGAAUACUGGGUGGCUUGAGUUCGGGAGAGGGCAGUGGAAUUCCUGGUGUAGCGGUGAAAUGCGUAGAUAUCAGGAGGAACACCGAUGGCGAAGGCAGCUGCCUGGCCUAGAACUGACGCUGAGGUGCGAAAGCGUGG
Molecule: ribosomal RNA, 664 nt
Filed under: uncultured bacterium
Lineage: Bacteria
Description: bacterial SSU rRNA
Rfam family: Bacterial small subunit ribosomal RNA
Source: RNAcentral